CGUCCUAACGUUGUUCGGAAUCACUGGGCUUAAAGGGCGCGUAGGCGGCCUUGAAAGUCGGGGGUGAAAUCCCACGGCCUAACCGUGGAAGUGCCUCCGAUACUGCAAGGCUCGAGGGAGGUAGGGGCAGCUGGAACUUCCGGUGGAGCGGUGAAAUGCGUUGAUAUCGGAAGGAACGCCGGUGGCGAAAGCGAGCUGCUGGACCUCUGCUGACGCUGAGGCGCGAAAGCCAGGGGAGCAAACGGG
This 246-nucleotide ribosomal RNA is filed under the name uncultured bacterium. RNAcentral describes it as "partial 16S ribosomal RNA". It matches the Rfam family "Bacterial small subunit ribosomal RNA", at positions 531 to 776 of the family's 1533-position model. The record is from RNAcentral.